CUUUAUUGGAGAGUUUGAUCCUGGCUCAGGACGAACGCUGGCGGCAUGCCUAAUACAUGCAAGUCGAGCGGACUAUCAGAAAAGCUUGCUUCUCUGAUAGUUAGCGGCGGACGGGUGAGUAACACGUAGGCAACCUGCCCUCAAGUUUGGGACAACUACCGGAAACGGUAGCUAAUACCGAAUAAUUGUUUUCUUCGCCUGAAGGAAACUGGAAAGACGGAGCAAUCUGUCACUUGGGGAUGGGCCUGCGGCGCAUUAGCUAGUUGGUGAGGUAACGGCUCACCAAGGCGAC
This 292-nucleotide ribosomal RNA is filed under the name Paenibacillus sp. VT-400. Its description in RNAcentral is "partial 16S ribosomal RNA". It matches the Rfam family "Bacterial small subunit ribosomal RNA", at positions 1 to 277 of the family's 1533-position model. Lineage: Bacteria; Bacillati; Bacillota; Bacilli; Caryophanales; Paenibacillaceae. The record is from RNAcentral.